RNAcentral lists this long non-coding RNA (4878 nucleotides) under Sus scrofa (pig). RNAcentral's name for it is "lncRNA (ENSSSCG00050052042.1)". Lineage: Eukaryota; Metazoa; Chordata; Mammalia; Artiodactyla; Suidae. The record is from RNAcentral.
AUAGCUCAAGAUGGCUUGGAGAAAUAAGAAAAAAAUCUCAGAGCCAGAACGUCUAACCACAUCUCUUCUUCUUUUUUUUUCUUUUUAUGGCCACAUCUGUUCCUGGGCCAGGGGAUGAAUAAGACCUGCAGCUGCUGAUCUAUACUACAGCACAGCAACACUGGAUCCAAGCUGCAUCUGUAACCUACAACACAGCUUGCAGCAAUGCCAGAUUCUUAACCCAAUGAGUGAGGCCAGGACUUGAACGCACAUCCUCAUGGAGACUAUGUCGGGUUCUUUACCUGCUGAGCCAUAACAGGAACUCCAUAACCACGUGUCUUCUUUCAGAGAUGAGGAAACUGAGGCCUACAGAGGCAAUGGAUAUGUCCAAGCCAAUUCAUGGCCAACUAAAAACACAUAGAACUGCGACCCAGGUAUUACAGGCUUAAUUGUGUCCUCCCAAAAGAGGGGGAAUGUUGAAAUCCUAACACUCAGUACUUCAAAAUGUGACUUUAUUAAGAAAAAGCAUUGCGGAUGAAAUUAGUUAAGAGGGCACUGAUGGAGCAGGAUAAGCCUUUCAUCCAAUACAACCAGUGUUCAUAUAAGAGGGCCGAGUGAAGACAGGGACACAAGGAGAAGGUCCUGGGUACAUAGAAGAUUGGCGCAGGGCAUCUACAAGCCAAGGAACACCAGAGGUUACUGGCAAACCACCAGGAGCAGGAAGGGGAAAGAAAGGAUCUACCAGAAAGGCUUCAGAGGAAACACGCCCGGCCACCAUCUUGCCUGUGGACAUCACAUUUCUGUGUUUCCGACCUCCCCAUUUGUGGUAUUUUGUGAUGUCAGCCCUCGGAAACUGGCAGACUAGGGUCCCUGCCUAAGAAUCUUUCCAUUAUAUAGUCGGUUACUCUAACACAAUAUGUGACCCUGCUCUGCAAACUGUAAAAUUUCAAAAAAUUAUGUUAUUAUUUAUUUUGUUCUCCAAUUUGCAUCAAAGGUAUAAAUUUUGUCUUCUGCAACUGGUUUCAAGCUUCUUCAGAGUAAGGAGCCCAUGCUAUCCAGAAGAGUCCUUUAAUAAAGUAGAAGAAAAUACAGUAUCUACUCAGAUACUGCAGACUGAAGGAAUAUACAAAUAAAGCUCCAUUUAAAAAUGUCAAAAUCACCAAAGACCUUCUGGAAAUUGAGGAAGUGACUGUUAACAAGAUCGAGUCUCCUUAUGGCUUUUUAUUUAGGUUAAACAUAUGGCUCUAUACUUUAGUAGGUUAAAUUUUAAUGUCAUAUAGAAAUAUAUUCCAGUAUAAGAAACAUAUUGAGAUACAUUAGCUGAAAAUAUUUGAACUGCUCUUCUACCACACUAUGUAAAUGUAAAAUUUUAAGUUUUUAUUCCAUUAAGAUAGAACUCCAGUGAGGGUUCAAAAUCAUCCGUAUAUCCUCCAUGUAUCAUCUUCUCCAUCAAAGUAAAUUUUUGUGAAGGUAACCAACACAGUUUGGAUUCCUUAAGAAGCUGGUCCUGUGGUAAGGUUUCCAGUGCAGAGUUGACUUGGAAGUUCCACGCUGGUAGGGGAGCAGGGGAGAGAGCUAGGAAAGGGAAUGUAGCUAAUAAAGGGUACUGUAUCCAGCAAAAACACACCAUCAUCAUGAGCUUAAGGAACCCGGGUAGCAGCCUCACGUCUCUCUUUCCUCAGGGUCGAGGGACCCAGAGUGUGCAUCAACCACCUCACUAGCUGAAGGAGUGAUGGGUGUCCAUUCUCUGAAACUUCCUUGCCUUGAAUGUGGGUAGGAUUAUCUCCAAAGGGUCAGGAGGGGACCUCAGACGGAGAUGUACAUGUUGGCAAAUAAAGAUGGUCUAGAAGGUACUACAGUGCUAAGGGUGAAGGAAGGCUAUGGUGAAGAACUGAAAAUGGCAGGCAGAAUGGAACAGAAAUGGACAGAAUCUUUAAGAGUAGGAAACCUCUGGUUCAAAUCCUACUGCCUUCCAUGAAUAGUAGUUAACUUCAGGUUUAAGUGACUAAACUUGCCUAAAGCUUCUUUUUGUCCUCUCCAAAUAAAAUAGUGACAAUAAUAAAAUCUGCCUCUGGGGACUAACAAGCAUUAAAACGCCUGUGUAAGUCACGUUUCACUAUGCUGCCUGGCACAAUCAAUGCCUGCUGAAUAUCAGCUAUCAUUAGAACCACUGAAAUCUUAUUGCUGCAUUUAAUAUUAUGAAAUUCUGUAAUACAUGAUAUCCAUAUUAGGAGAUGUCAACAUGGGAAGGUCCUCAUGAGAGCCCCUUUAUUCUGAAUCCUGACUCAAAAUUAUUAAAUGCAUCACAUAAACAUUUUCACAUCCGUACAGGAAGAAUUCAUUUUAUUUUUAAUAGCUUAAAUAUUCUGCCCUAAAAGAUGAAUGAGCAAAAUCUACCUGUGAUCAAACUAACUUAAAUAAAUACAAGAAAGCGAGCUAUUAAGCAAAAUAUCAGUAGAGAUUUAAACUUAUUCUUGCACCCAAGAGAAAGAAUAACUUCUGAGGGGAAAACUCCAUGAAACUUGACUAUCUAUGUCAUAGCAAACACCAAAAGGUAACAAAAAAUGAAAUGAAAUAAUAAAUGGGGCUGUGCUAAAAUUGAGGAACCCUGAUUUAGAGGAUAUGGUAUAAUGCCUUUAACCACUGGACUUUCCAAACAAUAAAAUCUCCUCCCAAUGUGCCAGUGCUUUUUCACCACAACGUACAAUGUAUUUUUAAAUGUUAAAAGUCUUCACAUGACAAGAAGCACACAUCAAGAUGUGUUCGAGCGCUACUAUAAAUUUGUGGUCUUUCAACCUGCCAGAUGAGGGUAAUUUCAACACGUUAUCAACAAAGCCAGGUAAUUAAAAUGUUGAUCUAGACAUGACCGUGGUUAAUUCACCCUGACUUGUAACAGCUGAAGUGAUGACAGAGAGGAACUCAGGGAUUCUAAGGUCAGAGGCACAUGGGGCUGUUUUUCAUUUUCAGAUUAUUUUAAGAGGAAUUCUGGCUUAUUACAGCAGCAUAUAUUGCCUUUUUGUUUUUCAUUAGUAAACCCUCUGGGAACUUUGACACAAGUACAAGCUAAACCUGAUUACUUGGUUUAUAGAACACAGAGAACAUUAUCCAAGAGCUAAUGACAAUGUCUAUUCACUUAGAACUCUGAGAAACCUGCGACUUUUAAUCAAGUUUUAAAGGCACAAGGACAAACCAAAAAUUGAGAAUGAAUGUUUUUACCCCUAUCUAUUGGAAGGUAAAGAAGCAUGUCGAGAAUUGUUCAAAUAACAUCAGAGCUGAGAUGAGAAAGUGUAAAGCAGAGAAGCAAACACAUUUUCAGCAAGGCGAUUUUUUUCUAACCGACAAAUUCUACAAAGCUCAACAAGAAACUGUGCUCCAAAUCCAUUUUUUCUACUAGAAUUGCUUUGUUACACUAAGUUGUAGCAAGACUAAAGAGCUCAAAACCCAGUUUAUUCUCUAAACAAGCUCAAAAAGAUGAUAUCUAAAGCAUCAAACCACUGAGUUUUCAAUUUAUUAGAUAUCUAUUAAUGCAUACUAAUAAUAAACUCUUAAGUAAGAGUGCUCAUCUUAUUUUCAUCUCCUUUAUGUUUCUAUCCAUUACACUAUAACUGGAAACCUUUCAGUCUUAAUUCUUAGAUAUUUCACAUAACCAAAUCGAGGAUGAAGUCAACUGACACAAGUCAGAGAAGAAAGAAUUAUUAGGAGCAUCUGUCACUUCAUACAAAAUGUAAAUAAGAAUGAGAAGACAAUUGUCAUUCUGAAAUUAAGAUUCAGACCAUACAAGCUGGCACUUUAUUACCUGUACAACUCUGCCUAGAGCAUUUAAAACACAGUUAUGUGAUGUAGUGUCUAUGAUGUAAGACAUCAGGAGAUCAAGGCUUAAAAACAACAACAAAAAGAAGUAUGCAGAAAGUUUAUCAACCCACCACAUUAAAGGGAUGAAUUAUAAUUUUUCUAAAUUCCUUUCGCCUUCACUUUUCUUCUUCCUUAAAGUCAAUAUUCAUUCAUUUGACCUGGAAAGCUUUUAAUGAACUGCAUUUUAACUAUCCUACUCUAGGAAAAAUUCCUAUACCAAUCUAUUCCAUUAUCCUGCCAUUUUGACAUGAGUAUGUAAUUGGGAAAGGAAAAAAUUCUUCUUUAUGAUAAUCUUAUAUGGAGUUCACACCAUGACACAGUGGAUUAAGGGUCUGGCAUUGUCUUUGCACAUCUCAGGUCACUGCUAAGACAUAGGUUCAAUCCCCAGCCCAGCAUAGUGGGCUAAGGAUCUGGCAUUGCCUUAGCUGUGGUGUAGGUCACAGCUGAGGUUCAGAUUCAAUUUCUGGCCCAGGAAUUUCCACAUGCCAUGGGUGCAGCCAAAAAAAAUUUUUUUUACCUUUUUUUUUCCCACUGUACAGCAGUGGACCCAAUUACAUAUACAUGUAUACAUUCUUUUUUCUCACAUUAUCAUGUUCCAUCAUAAGUGACUAGACAUAGUUCUCAGUGCUACAGGAGUUCCCAUUGUGGCUUAGUGGUAAUGAACCCAACUAGCAUCCAUGAGGAUGUGCAUUUGAUCCCUGGCCUCGCUCAAUGGGUUAAGGAUCUGGCAUUACCAUGAGUCGUGGUGUAGGUUGGCAGCUACAGCUCCAGUUCAACCCCUAGCCUGGGAGCUUCCAUAUGCCAUGGGUGUGGCCCUAAAAAAGACCAAAAACAAAUAAAUAAAAAUAAAUUUUAAAAGGUAGUAUUACUUAUAAAAGAGAGGUAAUGAUAACUGUUCUAAUAACAACUUUAAGAAGUCCCCAUCAAAAAUGCAUAUGCCAAAAAACACGAAGCAUGAGUUCAUGAGUUUGUAAGUAGUUGAAAAGACUCUAUGUCUGUUGAACAAAGACAUUAAAUUACUACUAAUAAGGCAGUACUACCACACUU